Molecule: long non-coding RNA, 331 nt
Filed under: Medicago truncatula (barrel medic)
Lineage: Eukaryota; Viridiplantae; Streptophyta; Magnoliopsida; Fabales; Fabaceae
Description: long non-coding RNA (MTRU_LNC003734)
Source: RNAcentral
UGCAGCCAACUUUCUCUAAUAUUUUAUUCUUAUAGACACCCUUCCUAUAUAUAUAAAAUUUAGGGGAAAUUUGGUUUGACUAUAGACACACCAAGCCUUAUACUACCCCGCCCAUGGAUACAAUAUGGAUAUUUAUGAGAAUACUCAUCAUUGGAUCCAAGACACCAUAUUUUCAAAAGAUGUGGGUCGUGCCACCUAUCCAACUUCCAACCCAGAAUAGUUUCCUUUUAGAUCGAUGUUUAUUUUCUUUGGAAAAACUUCAUGCAAAUAAAUGUUUGGCAUCCUCCAAUUUAAACUCAACCUUCUAGUUCUAGAUGAUGGCACAAACAAA